RNAcentral lists this unclassified non-coding RNA (268 nucleotides) under fungal sp. RNAcentral describes it as "partial internal transcribed spacer region". The stretch from base 1 to 46 matches the Rfam family "Eukaryotic small subunit ribosomal RNA", at positions 1786 to 1831 of the family's 1831-position model. RNAcentral also lists the same sequence under 1 other name. The record is from RNAcentral. Lineage: Eukaryota; Fungi.
AAGUCGUAACAAGGUUUCCGUAGGUGAACCUGCGGAAGGAUCAUUAAAUUCAGUAGCUUGCUACUGUUAGGGGGGGUCUAUUAGUCUGUAUAGUAUCACUACUGAUGAGCAGCACGACCCUCUGUCUAUACCCUUGUCUUUUGCGCACUCAUGUUUCCUCGGCGGCUUGAUACCCGCCGGCUGGAUCAAUCUAUAACCUUUUUAAUUUUCAAUCAGCGUCUGAAAAACCUAAUAAUUACAACUUUCAACAACGGAUCUCUUGGUUCUG